GGGGAUGACAGGCUUUGACGGUUUGCCCCGCACGAUCUGUGCAGUGUCGAAGUUGGAUGUAACUUCGUUAAAAUGCAUCUAUCCGUACGUGCUAAGAAAAGCGUACCAAGUCCUUAUGCUAACGCAUUCGGAUUCGCACCAGCAUUCGCGUAACCCAAGAAAUUAGGUUACCCCGCUCGUGUGGCAUCACCGUGUCGAAUGCCUAAUACGAUACGCGUGGUGAUAUAAACAUCAGGCUCUAGUCUCUUCCCUCGCCUCCGGUAGAGACCAAAUUCUUCGAGGCUCGACUGCUGAUGCUUUGGUUUUCCUUUUACAUCAUCAGUUCAAAUCAAAAGGUAAACUACACACUGUAGACCCAGACGUUCGGUCACUCUCGGACGGCGGUUCAAAUCCGCCCAUCUCCACAU
RNAcentral lists this transfer-messenger RNA (407 nucleotides) under Candidatus Kaiserbacteria bacterium. It matches the Rfam family "transfer-messenger RNA". Rfam says of the family: Bacterial tmRNA, also known as 10Sa RNA or SsrA, is named for its dual tRNA and mRNA-like properties. Its role is to liberate the mRNA from a stalled ribosome. The record is from RNAcentral. RNAcentral also lists the same sequence under 1 other name. Lineage: Bacteria; Candidatus Kaiseribacteriota.